RNAcentral lists this ribosomal RNA (457 nucleotides) under uncultured Sphingobacteriales bacterium. Its description in RNAcentral is "bacterial SSU rRNA". It matches the Rfam family "Bacterial small subunit ribosomal RNA", at positions 925 to 1382 of the family's 1533-position model. Lineage: Bacteria; Pseudomonadati; Bacteroidota; Sphingobacteriia; Sphingobacteriales. The record is from RNAcentral.
ACAAGCGGAGGAGCGAUGUGGUUUAAUUCGAUGAUACGCCGAGGAACCUUACCUGGGCUCGAACGUAAGAUGACUGUAGGUGAAAGCUUACAUCUCUUCGGAGCAUUUUACGAGGUGCUGCAUGGUUGUCGUCAGCUCGUGCCGUGAGGUGUCGGUUAAGUCCCAUAACGAGCGCAACCCUACCUUUAGUUGCCAUCAGGUAAUGCUGGGGACUCUAAAGGAACUGCCUACGCAAGUAGUGAGGAAGGCGGGGAUGACGUCAAAUCAGCACGGCCCUUACGUCCAGGGCUACACACGUGCUACAAUGGCCGAUACAGAGGGCAGCUACCUGGUGACAGGAUGCAAAUCUCCAAAGUCGGUCUCAGUUCGGAUCGGAGUCUGCAACCCGACUCCGUGAAGUUGGAUUCGCUAGUAAUCGCGCAUCAGCCAUGGCGCGGUGAAUACGUUCCCGGGCCUU